GGCCGAGUAUGUAUGGCAGCAGAAAGCACGAUUUGCUGGUGCUAAUGUCGUUGAGGUAUUCGCGUAUUAUCCAUUUCAUUUGAUUCCGUCUUCAGUGAGGUCUCCUGAAAGUUAAGAGUCAGUUGAGUUAGGGCAAUCUGCUUUAUUGUUUUAUAACGGGGAAGUUUAAUGGCUAGGGUGACUCUCUGACCUCCGAAUUGGUUGUAGCUUGGUGCUGGUACUUCAUUGCCUGGAUUGGUUGCGGCUAAAUUAGGCGCCAGUGUCACCUUGACUGAUGAUGCUAAUAGAGUGGAGGUAUUGCUUCGUCUUAGUUGCUUUGCCUGAAAAUAUAAGUUUCAUUCAUACGCCAAUAGUAUAAAAAUGGGAAAGGGGUGUCAAUGGCUGUGUUAAUAUGAGCAUCAUGGGCAGUUAGAUGGAUCUACUUAUUUGAUCUCUGAUCGCCAACUCUUCAAUCUAUAGGUGCUGGACAAUAUCAGGAAAGUUUGUGACCUGAAUAAUCUUAAUUGUAACGUAAGUUCAAAUCCUCCAGCCAAGUUGUACUUAAUAAAACCUUUUUUUAAAAAAAGGGUAUUAUCUUCUCUUGCUAAUUCUUCCUUUCGAGAGAACGAUUUUG
This 613-nucleotide long non-coding RNA is filed under the name Cucumis sativus (cucumber). RNAcentral describes it as "long non-coding RNA (CSAT_LNC002525)". The record is from RNAcentral. Lineage: Eukaryota; Viridiplantae; Streptophyta; Magnoliopsida; Cucurbitales; Cucurbitaceae.